Molecule: RNA transcript, 6700 nt
Organism: Mirounga angustirostris (Northern elephant seal)
Lineage: Eukaryota; Metazoa; Chordata; Mammalia; Carnivora; Phocidae
Gene name: cytochrome c-like
Exons: 1
Source: RefSeq, a predicted model, not a curated record
GAUUAUUGUCUGUCAGAAUAAUGUAGACCUGUAGAAUCAUAGGACUCUUUCAUCAGAGAAAUUCAAGACAUGACAGGCACACAAGUCAUGUUUCAUACUCAGGGAAUAGAUUUUGUAGGGAAAGAGUUGAAACAGGAGAAUGAGGUUUUUGAAUUACGAAUUAAGUUUCACUGUUCUCCAUUACUAUGUGAUAAUCAGGAGUUGUGUGUGUAAUACAGUCAAUAAUACAGUCUUGUUAAUUAUUGUGUUUGAUUUCUGAUGCUUUACAUUCUAGAAAAAGGUACAUGAGUUAUAUUAAUCUGUUUUAAUAUCUUUAUGACAUUAGUUUGGAAAUGUUCAAGUAUUAUAAUUUUUUAAAAAGAAUAUGUGUUAUGCUAUUGGAUGUAGUGUUGUAUAAAUGUAAAUUAGGGUAGGAUAGUUAUAGUGUUAAUCAGACUGUUUAUAUCUUUACUAACUUUGUUUUAUUGAUAGAAGGAUGUUGAAAUCAACUAUGAUUGUGGAUUUUCUAUUUCUCCAUUAAUUCUGUGAAUUUGUGCUUCAUGUAUUUGGAAGCUCUGUUAUUAGUCUUACAUAUAUUUGUGGUUUUUAGUCUUCCUAUGAUUUAACUCUUUUAUCAUUAUGAAAUGUCUUUCUUUAUCUCUGGUUGUGAUGUCUGUCUGAUAUUACUGUAGCCACUCUAGCCUUCUUAUACUUACUGUUUACAUGAUUUUUUUAUACUUUAACUUUCAAAGUAUCUGUGUCUUUAUAUUUAAAGUGUAUUGCUUAUAGAUAGCACAUAGUUGGGUCUUGGUCUUGCUUUUUUAUCCAGUCUGACAAUUUCUUUAUUUUAAUUAGAUUUUUAACCCAUUUACAUUUAAUGUAACUGUUGAUAUUGUGGAUAUAGGUUUACCAUUUUCAUGUUUGCUUUCUGGUUUUGUUGUUGUUGUUGUUGUUGUUGUUCCUUUAUUCCUCUACCACUUCUCUUUCUCUUUUUGAGACUGAGUUUUUUGUCUUUUUAUCAACCUUGGAAAAAAUUUUGCUAUUAUUUAUUCAGGUAUUUUCCUGCUCCAUUCUUUCUUCUCCUCUGGGACCGCAAUUACAUACAUAUGUGUUAGAUCUUUUGAUAAUGUACCACAAAAACACUGAGGUUCUAUUCAAUUUUUUUCGAUCCUUAUUUCUCUUUCAUCUUUAUAUUGGAACUGUAAUUUGCAAGUCAAUUGAAUUUUUUAUUCAUAUAUUGUAUUUUUCUGACCUAGAAUUUCCAUUUUUAAGAGGGUGUAUUCCUCUGUUGAGAUUUCCUAUUUUUUAAAUUCAUUACAAGCUUAUUUUCCUUUAUGUCCUUCAGCAUAGUUAUAAUAGCUGCUUUAAAUCCUUAUCUACUAAUUCUAACAUGUGGACAUCUCAGGGUCAGUUACAUUGACUGUCUUAUCUUUUGAGUAUUGGCAUGUAUUCCUGUUUCUUUGUGAUCUAGUAAUUUUGGAUUGUAUUCUAGACAUUUUGAAUGAUCCAUUGUAGAGACUUUAGAUUCUGUUAUAUUUUUCCAAAGAAAACUGAUUUUUGUUUGUUUGUCUUAUCAGACAGAUAAUUUGCCUAAACUCAAACUUCAAACUCUGUCUCCUCUGGGGUAGACAGCAGCUGAAAUCUCUUCAGUUUUUUAUCCUUAAUUUGACUGCUUGGAGCCUCAUAUCUGUAGAGAUGAAAGUUUAGCCAGAACUGUGGGCUCAGUGUUUACCCAGAAUUUAGGACUCUCCAUCUGUGUCUCUUUUCUGAAAAUUUCCUUUAUUUUCUAGCUGCUAUAAUUGUAUCAAACUCUGUUUUCUGGUCUCUUAAGCCCAUGAAAUAGCAUUUCUAUCUGACAUUUAUCCAUCAUUGAAUAAUACCAACUGGUGCCUCCCCUCAGGCAAAAAGCUAUAAAAAGAGGAGAAGCUCACCUAGUGCCAUUUUUUUCUUCCAAGUGUCAACUCUCAUUUAAUUUCUACAUGCUUUGGUCAUUCUCCAUUGCCUUUAAAAUUUAUCAAGACUUUAUAGAUACUAUUCUUUGGAAGGAUUGACCUAACAGGAUCUACUCUGACAUUUCUGGAAGUAUAACCUCCUUGUCAUCUUUUCUUAACCUGGCAUUGAGAACCCUAUGCCUAUUUUGGUCCUAACAUAUUUUUUCCAUCCUUAUUUUCUAUCAUUAUACUCUAUGUAGCCAUGUUUCUGCUAAAAUGAUCUACUAUUUCAUCCCUUAGAAAAUUUUAUACAUUCCUACUUUACAUCUUUGUUUACAUUGCUCCCUCCAACCCAUAUUCUAUCCCACACUUUCCUUCUUCUGAAAUCUUUACCAUUUUCCAAGUCUCAGCAUAAUACCUAUCUGGUUUUUUCCAUGAAUUCUUUCCUAAUCAGUUUUGCCCAACCUGACCUCCUAAGGCUUUAUUAUCUACACCAUUCACUGGACAUUGAAUUGUACACUGCCUCAUAAUAUUACAUUUAUUGUAGUCACUCAACCAAAAAUAUGAUGCAUUUCUUUUCAACCUAAUUAGAUUAUACUCUCUUUGAGGCAAAGAACCUUAUAUUUAUAUUUCAUUUUUCUCCUACAAGCUCUAACUCAAUCUUCAGUUCAGUAAAUAGUCUGUUUAAUAAAUUUUUUAAUGAAUGAGUUAUUCCAAUAUUAAUAUUUAUGUAAAGUGCCUAGAACAUGAUCUGGCACAUAGCAAACAAUAAUCAAGGUUAUCUGUUGUUAUUAUUAUCUGAAAUCAGCAUAGUAAUGUAUGAAUGUUCUUCUUACUCCACCCUCUGAUUAUUAUUUCUGUUCUUGGGUUCAAAGACUUGUGGAAUCUUAGAACUAGAAAAUAUUUAAGGUCAUCUGAUAAAAUCCUUUUAUUCUGGCAGAUCACAGGGCUUAAGCAGAUUCAAGGCUAUCUGGUCCAUCUCACUGUAUCAGAGGUUUUCAAUCAAGGAGGCUAUAAACAGCCACUCCUAUUAUUUGGUCCAAAAUGUCCACAGCACUAAAGGUCGAGAAAUCCUGUGCUACAGUAGCUCUAUACCCUUUAUUUAACCUUCCUUAAAAAAGACUUACCUGCUUUCCUGGUUAACAUGUUCUGUUGUCACAGAGAGUUCUUAAUACCAGACUUAUUCUUUAUUUGGUAUUUCUUUAUUUAUAUUUCCCUGUUUUGAGAAGAACAUUUAAAUAGCUAAAAUAUGGGGUGCCUGGGUGGCUCAGUUGGUUAAGCAACUGCCUUCGGCUCAGGUCAUGAUCCUGAGUCCCACAUCGUGCUACCUGCUCAGCAGGGAGUCUGCCUCUCCCUCUGACCCUCCCCCUUCUCAUGCUCUCUCUCUCUCUCAUUCUCUCUCUCAAAUAAAUAAUAAAACCUUUUUAAAAAAUAGCUAAAAUACAUAGGAAAAAUAACUUUUGCAGAAUAAUUUUCCUCAUACUUGUGACUUUUAAAAUUAUUUGGGAGAGUUUAGAGAGUGGGACAUACACCUCGUGAGUGGACACCUUUGUUUUGCGCACGAUGAAAGAGUAAUUUAAAAAUGGAUGAUGUAGGGGCACCUGGUGGGUCAGUUGGUUAAGUGUUCGACUCAUGAUUUCAGCUCAGGCCAUGAUCUCAGGGUCUUGAGAUCAAGCCCCACAUUAGGCUCUGUACUUGGCAGGGAGUCUGCUUAGGAUUCUUUCCCUCUCCAUCUCCCUCUCCCUCUGCCCCACCCCCUGCUCAUGCACUCUCGCUCUCUCUCAAAUAAAUAAAUAAAUAAAUCUUUUAAAAAAUGAAAAAAAAAAAUGGGUGAUAUUGAGAAAGGCAAGUCUUUUGUUCAGAAAUGUGCCCAGUGUCAUACCAUGGAAGAGGGAGGCAAGCACAAGACUGGGCCAAAUCUCCAUGGUUUAUUUGGGCGUCAGCCCCCUAGAUUUUCUUACAUGGAUACCAAAAAGAACAACAGUCUUGGAGAAUCCCAAGAAGUACAUCCCUGGAACAACAACAACAAAAAUUAUCUUUGCUGACAUUAAGGAGAAAAGGAAAAGAGCAGACUUGAUAGCUUAUCUCAAAAAAGCUACUAAGCAGGGGUGCCUGGGUGGCUCAGUUGGUUAAGUGUCUGCCUUUGGCUCAGGUCAUGAUUCCAGGGUCCUGGGAUUAAGCCCCACAUUGGGCUCCCUGCUCUGCGGGAAACCUGCUUCUCCCUCGGGCUCCCUGCUCAGCGGGGAAUCUGCUUCUCCCCUCCCACUCCCCCUGCUUGUGUUCCCUCUCUCGCUGUCUCUCUCUCUGUGUCAAAUAAAUAAAUAAAAUCUUUUUUAAAAAAGCUAAUAAGGAGUAAUAGUUGGCCAUUGCCUUACUUAUUACAAAACAAAAAUGUCUUAUGACUUUUGUAUGUGUACCAUCUUUAAAUUGAUUUCAUACACCAGAAUCCAGAUCUGAAUGGAUGAUAGACUAUUUCUUUUGGACAGUCCUGAUUUAAAUAAGUUGGGCUCGUGGUUAAAUGAAUAGGAUCAGCUUUUUGAACUUUGAUAGUAAUUCUGGUUCAGCAAGUGCUGUCAUGUUUUCCCCUUCUAAAAAUAUGAUUGGAGUUGAUUAGUAAUGUUCAGCUUUUCACAGAGAUGGUAAAUGCCAUCUCCUAACUUAUAGGAGAUUGGUUUUAUAUUUAGAUUUAUGUAACUGGUUAUAGUAAUGUAUUUAAAUACAAAGGAAAUCCCUUCACCGUCUCAUAGAACAGCAAGACUCAGCUAUGUUUCAAGUUGUGUUCGUUAGCCUGUGAAAGGCAAGGGCUGAAGUUAAGUUGGCAAUGUCCACUUUAUCUUUUUGGUCUUAACUAUGCCGACUUAAUUAAAAUUCCCUGCCUCUUAAAUGUUGCCUUUUGCUUAAUGAAAGGCAUUUUAGUGUGGUUUAUGUAUAAUAUCAAAAAAAGAAUAUUUGGGGUGCCUGGGUGGCUCAGUUGGUUGAGCGACUGCCUUCAGCUCAGGUCAUGAUCCUGGAUUCCCUGGAUCGAGUCCCGCAUCGGGCUUCCUGCUCAGCAGGGUGUCUGCUUCUCCCUCUGACUCUCUCCCCUCUCAUGUGCUCUCUCCCUCUUUCUGUCUCUCAAAUAAAUAAAUAAGAUCUUUAAAAAAAAAAGAAUAUUUAACACUUCUCACAUUUCAUAGAUGAUCUGUAAGGUCAGAUGCUUUUAAGAUUCAGUGUGACGAUAUAGCAGCCGACUUGGCUUGUGAAUUCUUUACUAAGUCAGACCGAGUUAUAAUUCAGGAUUGUCUUCUAAACAGCUAUUCAAAAACAUAACUGUGGCAUUACCAUAUCUGUAUGAUUGGUAAUGGUGUUUUUGACAACUCCUUAGAAGGGUUAAAGUAGAGGAGGUAUAUCAGCAGCACAAAUUUGUAAGUUAUGUGAUAAGGCUUAAGAUAAUUAAAAACAAAAUCACAGGGGCGCCUGGGUGGCUCAGUCGUUAAGCAUCUGCCUUCGGCUCAGGUCAUGAUCCCAGGGUCCUGGGAUCGAGCCCCGCAUCGGGCUCCCUGCUCCACGGGAAGCCUGCUUCUCCCUCUCCCACUCCCCCUGCUUGUGUCCCCUCUCGCUGUGUCUCUCUCUGUCAAAUAAAUUAAUAAAAUCUUAAAAAUAAAUAAAUAAAUAAAAACAAAAUCACAGAUCAAAAAAUUUGGGAGAAAUUGUAAAAAUUAUCUGGAGAGAGAGAUGUUACAAAGUUAAUAGAGGCUUAUCAAAUAUCUUAGUAAUAGUAGUUGUUGUACAACCAGCUCUUUUAGCUUUAUAUGCAGUGUUCCCUGAUGACCGUCAGGGCAGAAAAGGGGUUAGAUGAAAGAAAAAGCAGGUUACUUGUCACCAACUGGAGUGGGAGAGAGAGAGACAGAAUGGCAGCCGUCAUUCUGCCUUCCUCUGUAGCUGCUUUUCUCCAUUCUUCCUUAUCUCUCUGCCCAAUUUCCAAGGCGAGGAGUAUAUGCAGUGAUGACGGCUAUUGACUGAACAUUGUUAGGAACAAAGGCCUGUGGAGAGGUCAGUACAUUUCCUCCUCUAGCAAGAGAUACCAGAGCUGUGAUCUACUUUUCAAAGUUUCCUGAAGGGAAGUACAAAUAUCCCGGUCUGAGUUGGGGAGAAAAUCCCAGAUGCACAGGUUGCUUUGUCAUGAGUUUGCAGAUCAUCAUUUUCUUUGCCCUUACUAGUUCUGUUCCCUUCUCUCGGUGGUAGUCAUAUGGUGACAUCUUGCCUCAGAAGCCAUUUUUAUUCUUAUUUAGUGUUUGCUCUCUAAAGAUGGUUCUUUUCUGGGUGACUCAGAGCUACAAGGUUCAAGGUCACAAUGAACUUUAGCCCCAAUUCGUGUGUAACCUAGGUGCUUACGCAAAUACAUGCAUGUGGCUUACUUAAAUCUUAUUUAUGUUUAGUCUGUCUUGCCAUUCUUUUUUUUUUUAAGGAUUUUAUUUUUAAGUAAUCUCUACACCCAAUGUGGGGCUCGAACUCACAACCCCAAGAUCAAGAGUUGCACACUCUACCAACUGAGCCAGCCAGAUGCCUCUGUCUUGCCAUUCUUUUUAGCAAGAAAAGAUUAAAGCCUGAUCCUACUCCCAACUUUUCUGCAUGUUUUCAGGGUUUAUUUAAGAUAUUUCUUUGACUGUCAAUAAAAUGUAAUAAUAUUUCUAGCUUUUUCUCAAAUCAGAUUUCUGAUUUUUUUUUAAAUUUCUAAAUAUUUUAUUUAUUUAUUUGAGAGAGGAGAGUGAACAUGAGAGAGUGAGCACCAGGGGGAGCAGAGGCUGAGG